GCCCAGGUGGCGGAAUUGGUAGACGCGCUAGCUUCAGGUGCUAGUUUCUGUAUGGAAGUGGAGGUUCGAGUCCUCUCCUGGGCACCA
Molecule: transfer RNA, 87 nt
Filed under: Paracoccaceae bacterium
Lineage: Bacteria; Pseudomonadati; Pseudomonadota; Alphaproteobacteria; Rhodobacterales; Paracoccaceae
Also listed under: 5 other names
Description: Rhodobacteraceae bacterium tRNA-Leu
Rfam family: tRNA
About the family: Transfer RNA (tRNA) molecules are approximately 80 nucleotides in length. Their secondary structure includes four short double-helical elements and three loops (D, anti-codon, and T loops).
Source: RNAcentral